CAUUUUUAUUCUUAGCAUUUGUAGUCAUUAUCAGGUGGCUUUAGAAGGGCACACACACGCACACUUUUGCGGAACAAGACAAAAAUUCAAUCAUUUGGAGAGUGGCUUCAAUUCACUUUGAAGACAUUCGCAAUGCAUUGCUAAAUCGUUUUGAGAAGAAAAAGAAUAAGUGAUGCAACAUUCUUUUCAUGAUUAAU
This is a non-coding RNA of Caenorhabditis elegans, 197 nucleotides long. Lineage: Eukaryota; Metazoa; Nematoda; Chromadorea; Rhabditida; Rhabditidae. The record is from Ensembl.